This 1223-nucleotide long non-coding RNA is filed under the name Fragaria vesca (wild strawberry). Its description in RNAcentral is "long non-coding RNA (FVES_LNC004994)". The record is from RNAcentral. Lineage: Eukaryota; Viridiplantae; Streptophyta; Magnoliopsida; Rosales; Rosaceae.
AUUACCCAAGAAAUAUAGUUAAUGUAAUACCCUAGAUUUUCAUAUCAAUUUUCCUUGUAUUAUUCCCUUAUUUAAUGAAGGAUUAUUUAUGGAAAUUCUUUGGUUUUUGCGAAGUUGAAGUUUUGGGAGUUUAUUUAAGUGCUUUGACUUUUGAGAGGCCAAAAGUUGACUUUAUUUUUCGUAAGUUAUCUUCGAAAACUUCCUUCACGAAAGUUGUAGAGUUUGUUGAUACGAGUUCGUAGACAUGCGGCACGUCUGAAACGGAUGUCGUAUGAAGAAGUUAUAUUCAGAGGAAGUUUGUUUUCGGGUUUGAAAAGAGUAUAAGUAGAAAAAAUGUGUGUGUGAUUAAUUAGAACCCUAAAAUCAGUUUCCCUCCUCUCUCUCUCCUCCCACCCGAGUUCCCCGAGCCUUCACCUUCUUCAGCCGAGUUCUUCCUCCUCCGGCCACCAAACCGGACGCCACCGGCCCCAUUCGACUCCCACAGCAGCCCUCUUCAUUUCUGGUGCAGUCCCGCCGGUAGUCCCGCCGCUUGGAAGCCGCCACGAAGCGGCGGACCUGCUGCUGUCUCGCCGGAAAACCGGCGAUUUCGACGCCGUUUCCGGCCAAGUUUAGGUGAGUCUUGAUCCCCUCUUCCUCCUAGUAGUGUCUAGGCAUAGUUGAAGCAAGUUUUUGAGGUUUUGAGGCCGGUUUUGCAGGUUUUGUAGUGUGAUUUGCUGGUUACCUUUCGGGGCAGUUUCCGGCCUGUUCCGGCCAAAAUUGGUUGAAGCCUCAGGUAUGAAAGUUGCUCCCCUUGCUACAAGCUUCAACUUUGCUGUUAAGAGUUUUCUCUAAUUCGGAAGUCCAUGGAGGUGAGUGGGGUCCACUCGCCCCUGUGGUGGCGCGUGGCAGCGCGUCCGGUAGGAUUGUGGCUUAGGUUGCUAUGUUUUGGCUAGCUCUUGUUGUGGUGAGCUUAUUGAGAUGUUGAAUUGCUAGGUUGUGAGCUUUGUUCGUAUGAUAGGAUUUUAAGUUUGUUAUUAGGUUUGGUUGAGGGUUGAGUUAGGAUUUGAGGAUUAGAGGCAGCCAUUUUAGGUCUCUAAGUUCGACGACCUUGAAAAGUUGUCCUCCCUUGAACUAAGGGUUAGUUAAGGGGUAUUGUGAUAACCUAUAGUAUUUUAUUACUAAGGUUUUAUUUGUGUGAUUUUAGGUGAUUUGUGAUUUUGUGAUUGGCUUGCCUUCGUUGUGUU